GGGGGUGUCCUGGUUUCGACAGGGAUAAAGGGGAUUGCUGAUGCAUGCCGAGGAGAUUACCUACUCGCUAAAAAGGUGAUAUCAAACUUAAACGCAAACGAUAACUUUGCACUAGCAGCUUAGUUCUGCUACGGUCCUGAAAAGUUUUGCCGUCAGGCUUUCAGAAGACCGCCAUAAAUAACGGCUAUAAAUGGCAGAUGUCUGUAAUGUCGUUCGAAAACAAACAGGCUGGUUGAAAAGAUGGGUUUGAUUGUUUUCCUGCUUUUCGACGAGAUCAAAAACAACUAAGCAUGUAGGUUCGGCUUUUGACUUAUCUUUGGACGCGGGUUCGAUUCCCGCCACCUCCACCA
This 350-nucleotide transfer-messenger RNA is filed under the name Candidatus Cloacimonadota bacterium. It matches the Rfam family "transfer-messenger RNA". Rfam says of the family: Bacterial tmRNA, also known as 10Sa RNA or SsrA, is named for its dual tRNA and mRNA-like properties. Its role is to liberate the mRNA from a stalled ribosome. Lineage: Bacteria; Pseudomonadati; Candidatus Cloacimonadota. RNAcentral also lists the same sequence under 1 other name. The record is from RNAcentral.